Long non-coding RNA from Sorghum bicolor (sorghum), 2304 nucleotides. RefSeq lists it as uncharacterized. Lineage: Eukaryota; Viridiplantae; Streptophyta; Magnoliopsida; Poales; Poaceae. The transcript is spliced from 2 exons. The record is from RefSeq and is a predicted model, not a curated record.
CUAAGAAAAGCCACGCGCAGCCUAUUCCUUCUCCCCACCUCUCCGCACGCCCAGCAGCUGCUCCCCCGCCGCCACCCACACGCGCCCAGCUCCCCUGUCGCCGCUCAGCACGCCUGCAAGCCGUCGCUGCCGCGCGCCUCGCCCCAUCCGCUAGCACUCCGACGCCACCGUAUCACCUGCAACUCCGCAUUGGCGACGGAUUCGUUAGGGUCUGGGCCUCCCUCCUCUAGAUCUGGCCGGAGCCACUGGCUUCCUUGCCUGGGUUCAGAUCCAUGGUGGCCAUGGUCGGACCGAGGGCCCCAGUGCUGGCCGGAGCGCCACCCUGCCCGUACGCCAAUGCCAUCGGCCUCGCCCCCCACGAAGUGAUGAUUUAGGGGCGCAGGAUUUGGAAUUUGGGAUGAUACGGCCAGAUCCGACGCGAUAAAAGUCGCCGCUACUGGACUUCCCCGCUGUUACCGGACAAACCCAAGCGAAGUCCCACAAGAACGAGGAGAGGGAGACGGGGGAGAGUCGGUGAGCCGAGGGCAGGAGCCGAGACAGCAGAAUGGCGUCACCGGGGAUGGUGGCCAUAGCGCUGCUGGUUCUGCGGCACAGUCCGCUGCGGACGGGCAGCAUGUGGACUUCCGAGGGGUUAAAGCCUACGGGAUGUUAAGUAGCAAUUGCUGCUUAGUUCUUCUCCCUAAAUUUAUUGCUGGGGAAUCUACUUUUCUAUGUUUGUUAAGAUGAAAUCGGUACCAUUUUAUUUGUGCACUGUCUGUGCAAAACUGGAAAUUCAGAUUAUUACAGUUCUCAUAUUUUGCUAUAAUCUUGAGUUAAAUUUUGGUAUGAUUUGUUACACCUAUAUAUCUCAUCUGUCAUCUGAAUUGUCUUACACCUCUAUAUCUCAUCUGACAAACCUUGCUUAAUUAUCUUAUCUUAUUUGCACUUGCUGAACACUAGGGUAAUAUACAAAUGUAGUCAGUAUUAUAGAACGAGGGUUCAAGAGUUGAGGCAUGUUCUUCUCUACAUAUAAGCAAAAUUUAUAGUCAAAAGGAAGCAUUUCAAUCCUGGUUACAUUCUGAUCUGAAAAAUCACAAUGUUUCAGUUAGUAGACAAACAUAGUGCUUAUUCAGUAGGCAUGCUGACAAUGAAUUUUAGCAUUUCCAGGCAUGCUGACAGUGCUUGAAGGCAGUGGUGAUUUGCGGCAAUCAUGUGAUCUACCUUUUUUUGCGAGGAUGUGAACUACCCUCGACGUGAACUACUAAGUGUGCAUGUCUGCAAACUCUUUGUUCAAGAAUCUACUUUUCUAUGUUUGCUAAGAUGAAAUCGGUACCAUUUAAUUUGUGCACUGUCUGUGCAAAACUGGAAAUUCAGAUUAUUACAGUUCUCAUAUUUUGCUAUAAUCUUGAGUUAAAUUUUGGUAUGAUUUCUUACACCUAUAUAUCUCAUCUGUCAUCUGAAUUGUCUUACACCUAUAUAUCUCAUCUGACAAACCUUGCUUAAUUAUCUUAUCUUGUUUGCACUUGCUGAACACUAGGGUAAUAUACAAAUGUAGUCAGUAUGAUAGAACGAGGAUUCAAGAGUUGAGGCAUGUUCUUCUCUACAUAUAAGCAAAAUUUAUAGUCAAAAGGAAGCAUUUCAAUCCUGGUUACAUUCUGAUCUGAAAAAUCACAAUGUUUCAAUCAUUUGACAAACAUAGUGCUUAUUCAGUAGGCAUGCUGACAAUGAAUUUUAGCAUUUCCAGGCAUGCUGACAGUGCUUGAAGGCAGUGGUGAUUUACGGCAAUCAUGUGAUCUACCUUUUUUUGCGAGGAUGUGAACUACCCUCGACGUGAACUACUAAGUGUGCAUGUCUGCAAACUCUUUGUUCAAGAAUAUUUCUAGUAGUUACUCAUCUUAUUACUCAAUUGGCAAACAGCUGAUGUCAGGUUACUCUGUUACUGCUAAUAUUAAAACUGUCAUUGCUUUUGUCCGUGUAUAAGAAUUUUGUUAUAGUGGCCAUAUUAAUCUGACUAUCUGAAACAUGAAUGUAUUAAUCUGACUAUCUGAAGCAAAUUGUGCUACUUGUACAGGAGGGAAAAGGGAAGUGUUGAUUUGUCCAGAUGCUGCUGCCAUUUCCUUCCAGACGUAUUUUUGACUAUCUUUCAUAUUUUUUCACUGGGAGUUCUCUAGCCAAUCAAAUAGCAUAUCUUUACUAGCAGAACUUUUCUGCAAGAAUCAUCAGGGUGUUAAGUUGAGACCCUACAUGUGUAAUGAAUUGGUGGAUUGAUGUAAUGAUAUUGUAUUUACUGUGGAGAUGUUAAUUUAUUUGGAUCUGAUGUUUUAU